This 255-nucleotide ribosomal RNA is filed under the name uncultured bacterium. RNAcentral's name for it is "partial 16S ribosomal RNA". It matches the Rfam family "Bacterial small subunit ribosomal RNA", at positions 524 to 776 of the family's 1533-position model. The record is from RNAcentral.
UACGUAGGGUGCGAGCGUUGUCCGGAAUUAUUGGGCGUAAAGGGCUCGUAGGCGGUUUGUCACGUCAGGAGUGAAAACUCGGGGCUCAACCCCGAGCCUGCUUCUGAUACGGGCAGACUGGAGGUAUGCAGGGGAGAACGGAAUUCCUGGUGUAGCGGGUGAAAUGACGCAGAUAUCAGGAGGAACACCGGUGGCGAAGGCGGGUCUCUGGGCCGAUAUUGACGCUGAGGAGCGAAAGCGUGGGGAGCGAACAGG